RNAcentral lists this ribosomal RNA (253 nucleotides) under uncultured bacterium. RNAcentral describes it as "partial 16S ribosomal RNA". It matches the Rfam family "Bacterial small subunit ribosomal RNA", at positions 524 to 776 of the family's 1533-position model. The record is from RNAcentral.
UACGAAGGGGGCUAGCGUUGUUCGGAAUUACUGGGCGUAAAGCGCGCGCAGGCGGCUAUCCAAGUCAGUGGUGAAAGCCCGGAGCUCAACUCCGGAACUGCCAUUGAAACUGUUUAGCUUGAGUAUGAGAGAGGUGAGUGGAAUUCCCAGUGUAGAGGUGAAAUUCGUAGAUAUUGGGAAGAACACCGGUGGCGAAGGCGGCUCACUGGCUCAUUACUGACGCUCAGGCGCGACAGCGUGGGGAUCAAACAGG